Molecule: ribosomal RNA, 292 nt
Filed under: uncultured bacterium
Lineage: Bacteria
Description: partial 16S ribosomal RNA
Source: RNAcentral
GGACUACUAGGGUUUCUAAUCCCGUUUGCUCCCCUGGCUUUCGUGUCUCAGUGUCAGCACAACCCCAGUUACCUGUUUUCACCAUUGGCGUUCCAAAUGAUAUCUACGCAUUUCACCGCUCCACCAUUUGUUCCGGUAACCCCUAGUUGGCUCAAGACCCGCAGUAUACCGAGCAGUUCCACGGUUAAGCCGUGGGAUUUCACAAGGUACUUACAGGUCCACCUACACACGCUUUAAGCCCAGUGAUUCCGCCUAACGCUUGGCACCUCUGUCUUACCGCGGCGGCUGGCAC